This 2432-nucleotide small RNA is filed under the name Pongo abelii (Sumatran orangutan). RNAcentral describes it as "retained intron". Lineage: Eukaryota; Metazoa; Chordata; Mammalia; Primates; Hominidae. The record is from RNAcentral.
GCUUCCGUAGAGGCCAGCUGGUUGCUACGCAACAGGAAACAUUCCGCGCUACCGAGUACUUUCUACUCCGACCAGGCAUUGCUCUCUCUGGAGACCCUCGGCGGUGAUUGCUCUGUUCUGACUUGGAGUAAGGAUGACUUUUCGGGCCACAGAUAGUGAAUUUGACCUCACAAAUAUUGAAGAAUAUGCUGAAAAUUCUGCACUUUCAAGACUGAAUAAUAUAAAAGCCAAACGAAGACUGAGUUAUGUGACAUCCACAGAAAAUGAAUCUGAUACACAAAUCCUAACGUUUAGGCACAUUACAAAAGCUCAGGAGAAGACAAGAAAACGACAGCAGCCUAUAAAACUAGAGCCUUUGCCAGUGCUAAAAGUCUACCAAGAUCAUAAGCAGCCAGAAUACAUACAUGAACAGAACCGAUUUCAGUUAAUGACUGCAGGAAUCAUUAAACGUCCAGUAAGCAUAGCAAAAAAAAGUUUUGCCACAUCAUCUACUCAGUUUCUUGAGCAUCAAGAUGCUGUGAAAAAAAUGCAGAUUAUCACAAAGUGCAGAGCAGUAGAAGUUUCAUUAAUACACCACAUGAGUUGCCCACUUAUGGAGACUCUGAAAAAAUGACAUAUACAGAACAGGCCAGCAAAAGGCAUUAUUGCAUGAGGCUGACGUGCUUUAUUCGUCUAAACGACUAUCUAAUUGAGAACACAAUGCACGUCUUAACGGUAAAUGCUGUUAAUUCGCUUUUGAACCAUCUCACUGACAAGCUAAAACGAACACCUUCAGCAGAUGUCAUUCAGAAAUGGAUUACUGAAGAGAAGCCUGAAGUCCCUGAUAAAAAGGGGACCCUUAUGGUGGAAAAGCAAGAAGAAGAUGAAUCUCUCAUCCCCAUGUUUCUCACAGAACUAAUGUUGACCGUCCAGUCACUUCUCUUUGAGCCUUCUCUGGAAGACUUUCUGGAUGGUAUUUUGGGUGCAGUUAAUCAUUGUCAAAACACUGUGUUAUCAGUUCCUAAUCUCGUGCCUGAUUCGUAUUUUGAUGCUUUCACCAGCCCUUAUAUUAACAACAAACUUGAAGGAAAAACCUGUGGAACUGGGCCAAGUUUAGCAGCAGUAUUUGAGGAUGAUAAGAAUUUUCACACAAUUAUUUCUCAAAUAAAGGGAACCAUUCAGGCAGCAUUUGAAUCGGCCCGCAUCUAUGCAGCUACCUUUGAAAAGUUCCAGAUAUUCUUCAAGGAAAAUGAAAGUCUUGAUUUACAAGCUCUUAAACUUCAGGAACCUGAUGUUAACUUUUUUAGUGAACAACUGGAAAAAUAUCACAAACAGCACAAGGACGCAGUAGCUCUCAGACCCACCAGAAAUGUAGGAUUGCUGCUCAUUGACACUAGGCUGCUAAGAGAAAAAUUAAUUCCAUCACCUUUGCGAUGCUUAGAGGUGCUAAAUUUUAUGCUUCCUCGUCAAAGCAAGAAAAAAGUGGAUGCCAUUAUCUUUGAGGCACAAGAUGCAGAGUACAAACUUGAGUUUGUUCCAACUACUACCACAGAAUAUGUUCAUAGCUUAUUAUUUCUUGAUGAAAUUCAGGAACGGAUUGAAAGCCUUGAAGAUGAAGGGAAUAUAGUGACUCAAAUGUACAAGCUUAUUGAACAAUAUCAGGUUCCCACACCUCCUGAAGACUUUGCUGUUUUUGCAACUAUGAAGCCAUCCAUUGUUGCUGUUCGGAAUGCCAUUGAUAAAUCAGUGGGUGAUAGAGAAUCAAGCAUUAAGCAAUUUUGUGUGCAUUUGGGUAGUGAUCUUGAAGAAUUAAACAAUGAAGUGAAUGAAGUAAAACUGCAAGCACAGGUAAGCUAAAUCAUUAUUUUGUAAAAAUAAUGUAUGCAAAGUUUGACUAUUACAUUUGUUUAUUAAAGUAUAGCCAACAAAUAAAAAUCAUAUAUAUUUACAAUGUAUAAUGUGAUGUUUUGAUAUAUGUAUACAUUGUGAAAUUGUUAAUCAAGCUAAUUAAUGUGUCUAUCACCUCACAUACAUCAUUUUUUUGUGGUAAGAAUAAUUAAGACUACUCUUCAAACCAUUUAGAGAACACAUUUAACUGAUGUAGCUUUAGUUUUUUAUAGUUUCAUUCUAACCAAUCAACAAUGUCUUUGAGCUGCUACUUAAAAAUUAAUGUUUCAAAAUCUCUCUUUAAGUAGUGAAUACAUUUCAGACUAUCACAAAGCAUAUAUGUAAUAUUAAAAUUGAAUUUAGUCAGUUAAAUUCUAGUCCUAAUUUGUAUUUAUUAUUUUGAAGAGUGUUUUAAUGACUUGCUAGCACAUUUUACAGCUAUUGUCACAAUUUUAAAGUUUGCUUAAUACCUGGGUGACGAAAUAAUUCAUACAACAAACCCCCAUUACACAAGUUUACCUGUAUAACAAACCAGCACAUGUAUCCCUGAACUUAAAAUAAAAGCU